GUGGGGAAUAUUCCGCAAUGGACGAAAGUCUGACGGAGCAACGCCGCGUGAGUGAUGAAGGUUUUCGGACUGUAAAGCUCUGUUGUUUAGGACGAAAGUGCCUGUUGCAAAUAGUUACAGGUAUUGACGGUACUGAACGAGGAAGCCACGGCUAACUACGUGCCAGCAGCCGCGGUAAUACGUAGGUGGCAAGCGCUGUCCGGAAUUAUUGGGCGUAAAGAGCAUGUAGGCGGGAAUCUAAGUCUGUUGUGGAAAUGCGGGGCUCAACCCCGUAUUGCUAUGGAAACUGGGUUUCUUGAGUGCAGGAGAGGAAAGGGGAAUUCCCAGUGUAGCGGUGAAAUGCGUAGAUAUUGGGAGGAACACCAGUGGCGAAGGCGCCUUUCUGGACUGUGUCUGACGCUGAGAUGCGAAAGCCAGGGUAGCGAACGGGAUUAGAAACCCGGGUAGUCC
RNAcentral lists this ribosomal RNA (450 nucleotides) under uncultured bacterium. RNAcentral's name for it is "partial 16S ribosomal RNA". It matches the Rfam family "Bacterial small subunit ribosomal RNA", at positions 354 to 796 of the family's 1533-position model. The record is from RNAcentral.